CGAUCCACAUUGGGCGGGGGGGACCCACAGCCCUUCCCACUCAUCGUGCGAGGAGAAAGAGAACUGGGGUCCUCCGACUGGUCUCCCUGGAAGACCCGACGUGUGCGGCGGGGGGUGGGGGGAGGACGGGGUUUAGGGCGGGAGCCUGAGGCCCCCGAGGCCCCGAGAUCCGAGGCCCCGGGCCCCCCGCCCGGCGGGGACGCACCGACGGCCGCCGCGCGGCGCCCCGAGGCCUCCCCGGGCGGGAAAGCACCGGCUCGUCUCACGGUUUCCACCCAACCCGAAAGAGCGUCUCCUCUCCCUUCUGCACAAGGCCUGGAGCUAGCGGGGCCCCGCGGACGGCCGCGCGCAGCCCCCUCCCCCGGCCGCCGGUCCUGCGGACGCGCAGGCGGGCAGCGGGGUCCCCAGCGCGCCCCCGCCCCGCCCCGCCCCGCCCCGCCCCGCCGAGCCGCCCGCCGACGCUCUGGCUCCCGGGGCUCGGGCAGCGCGCACCGCCGGGGACGAGGGGGCGCACGCGGGCCGCGGCUCAGGCCGCCCGCCGGAAGCCCCCGAUUCCCGCGGCCUCGCUCCCGCUCCCGCUCCCCGCUCCCCGGUGCCGCCCGCGCGGCUGCCAGGUUUAGGACCGGGUCAGGCAGCCCCGCCCCCCGAGACACAGAGGGGACAGGCUGGGGCCUGGGGUCGCCGACCAGCCCGGACCCAGGAAUUCUCCAGAAUCCUCAGUCCUCUCGCACUCGCCCUGGGCCUCGAUCCCACACUCUCCCCAGCAGCAUCCGUGGAACCCAGCAGGAGGCGGGCGCCUACCCGGCUACCCUACCCUGCCGCGGCCCGUGUCAGGGGCGCCUGCGUGAGCGCCGCCGGCCUCCGCCUCGUUCCCACCGGGUGUCUGGGCCUGGACAGGCCCCCCUGGCCCCAGGCGCGGGGCACGCAGGGGGGCGUGGACGCGAUCCCCUCAUGCUUCAGUGGCUCCCACUAAGGUCCCCACCUUUCCAGAGUAUUCUCGCCAACAGAGCCUUACUGUCUGGGGGAGCUCCUUUGCAGACCCUCGGUGACCUGGACCAUCUCCAACGCGCCGACAGCUCCCCGGGAGCGGCUGGAUUUGAUCAAGCCGGAAGGAAGUCGUCGUUCUGUCUUGCCAGCGGGGUAUCUCUCGGAAAGCAGUGCUUUUAA
Molecule: long non-coding RNA, 1167 nt
Filed under: Canis lupus familiaris (dog)
Lineage: Eukaryota; Metazoa; Chordata; Mammalia; Carnivora; Canidae
Description: lncRNA (ENSCAFG00040011463.1)
Source: RNAcentral